Thalassophryne amazonica is the source of this 1071-nucleotide RNA transcript. It is a transcript of the gene named cilia- and flagella-associated protein 251-like, with no coding region annotated. The record is from RefSeq and is a predicted model, not a curated record. The transcript has 5 exons. Lineage: Eukaryota; Metazoa; Chordata; Actinopteri; Batrachoidiformes; Batrachoididae.
AGAAAGAGGCCACUGAAAUUGCACAUCUAAUGUGCCACGAUUUGGCCACAUCAAGAAAGUUUUAUAAAGCUGACCCGCCCCCUGUGGCCACCGCUCGGGUGCGUGAUGUAAUGAUGCGAGCCAUCAUCGGGCCCGGUGAAGAAGAGGAGGAUGCGAAUGUGGAAGAGGAGGAGGUGAUGAGCCUGCAUGACACCACUGAGGAAGAGGAGGAGGCGAUGAGCCUGCAUGACACCACUGAGGAAGAGGAGGAGGAAAUGAGCCUGCACGACACCCCUGAGUCAGAGGAGGAAAUCAGCCUGCACAACACCCCUGAGUCAGAGGAGGAGGCCAGUGAGGAUGAGGAGGAACUGAGCUCUAGACGGAAGAGGAAGUCUAGUAAGAGUUUGCAAAGUGAGUCAGAGGUCAGUGAGGAUCAGGAGGUGGAGAGAGGAGCAGAGAAGGUGGAGAGAAGGAAGAAGAAAUUGCAGAGGGUCCUCUUCCCUGUUUCCCGAAGACACAGUAAGAGACGACGACGAGCGGAUGACGAUGGUGACGAGGGUCCCUCCUCAGCUGGGCCAUCCAGCCACCAUCCAGUGGGUUGUCGAGUGAAAAGGCUAAAGGCUGGAGAACUCCCAGAAAAUCUCCCAAAAAAAGAGCCACUCCAUCCAAAUUGCCAAGCGCCAGAUCCUCCGAUCAUUCCCUGGUCACCGCCCCUCAAGCAUCCCCAGUAGAACCCCAUGUCUCCUCAAGUGUUUUGUCCACUUCCCCCAAUGUCACCCCACCUCAAGGGUUGCAGUUCGCAGAACAUGACUCCCCCGUACCUCAUGACUCCCCCGUACCGCAUGUCUCCCCUCCCCCCAACGUCACCACCCAGUCCCAGAAAUGAUAGCCUAUUUGGGAUGCUGAUCAAGAAUAUGUAACCAGAAAUGGUUUUUUCCUCUCCUAUGUGAGUGAAACAACCAAAGAAAUGUUGGGUUAGGACAUGAGACUUGAUUGCAGGCAUGACCGCCAUUGCUAAGACAUUGCUGGUUGGAAUUUUUGAUUAGGAGUAUAACCCUACUGUUUCUCAACGUUAACAUGGUCAAGGCAUAA